This 467-nucleotide ribosomal RNA is filed under the name uncultured bacterium. Its description in RNAcentral is "partial 16S ribosomal RNA". It matches the Rfam family "Bacterial small subunit ribosomal RNA", at positions 28 to 507 of the family's 1533-position model. The record is from RNAcentral.
GACGAACGCUGGCGGCGUGCUUAACACAUGCAAGUCGAACGGAAAGGCCCUGCUUUUGUGGGGUGCUCGAGUGGCGAACGGGUGAGUAACACGUGAGUAACCUGCCCUUGACUUUGGGAUAACUUCAGGAAACUGGGGCUAAUACCGGAUAGGAGCUCCUGCUGCAUGGUGGGGGUUGGAAAGUUUCGGCGGUUGGGGAUGGACUCGCGGCUUAUCAGCUUGUUGGUGGGGUAGUGGCUUACCAAGGCUUUGACGGGUAGCCGGCCUGAGAGGGUGACCGGCCCCAUGGGGGCGGGGGACGGGCCCGAGUCCCCCGGGGGGGAGGGGUGGGGGAAAUUGGCCAAUGGGGGGGAGGCUGAUGCAGCAACGCCGCGUGCGGGAUGACGGCCUUCGGGUUGUAAACCGCUUUCGCCUGUGACGAAGCGUGAGUGACGGUAAUGGGUAAAGAAGCACCGGCUAACUACGUG